Molecule: ribosomal RNA, 478 nt
Filed under: uncultured bacterium
Lineage: Bacteria
Description: bacterial SSU rRNA
Rfam family: Bacterial small subunit ribosomal RNA
Source: RNAcentral
AGAGUUUGAUCAUGGCUCAGAGCGAACGCUAGCGGCGAGCUUAACACAUGCAAGUCGAGCGCAUGGCUUCGGCCAUGAGCGGCGGACGGGUGAGUAACACGUAGGUAAUCUGCCCUCUGGUGGGGAAUAACCCGGGGAAACCCGAGCUAAUACCGCAUAUGGCCUUCGGGUCAAAGCCUUCGGGCGCCAGUGGAUGAGCCUGCGUCCCAUUACCUAGUUGGCGGGGUAACGGCCCACCAAGGGGACGAUGGGUAGCUGGUCUGAGAGGAUGAUCAGCCACACUGGGACUGAGACACGGCCCAGACUCCUACGGGAGGCAGCAGUGGGGAAUAUUGCGCAAUGGGCGAAAGCCUGACGCAGCUACGCCGCGUGGGUGAUGAAGGUCUUCGGAUCGUAAAGCCCUGUCGGGAGGGAAGAACAAUGACGGUACCUCCCAAGAAAGCACCGGCUAACUCCGUGCCAGCAGCCGCGGUAAUAC